This 104-nucleotide transfer RNA is filed under the name Thermoplasmatota archaeon. RNAcentral describes it as "Candidatus Thermoplasmatota archaeon (groundwater metagenome) tRNA-Lys". It matches the Rfam family "tRNA". Rfam says of the family: Transfer RNA (tRNA) molecules are approximately 80 nucleotides in length. Lineage: Archaea; Methanobacteriati; Thermoplasmatota. The record is from RNAcentral.
GGGCCUGUAGCUCAGCUAGGUAAAGGUUGUUCUUGGAACAGUCUUCUAGAAAGAGCAUCUGGCUUUUAACCAGGUGGCCCGGGGUUCGAAUCCCCGCAGGCCCG